AUUGAACGCUGGCGGCAUGCCUUACACAUGCAAGUCGAACGGAAACACGACGAAAGGUGUCGUCUAGUGUUGGCGGGGGGCGUAAGGCUUAGGCAUGUGUCAACUACUGAUAGAUCUCUGCUCGCAACGGUAGAUAAUAGCGCAUACCAUCUAAGAUAGUGAACGGGAGACUGCAAUGGUUCGAGCGAUUUUUGCGGCCGCUGUCAGAUUAGGUAGUUGGUGGGGUAAAGGCUCACCAAGUCAACGAUCCGUAGCUGGUCUGAGAGGAUGAGCGGCCACACUGGAACUGAGACACGGUCCAGACUCCUACGGGAGGCAGCAGUGGGGAAUCUUGGACAAUGGGCGCAAGCCUGAUCCAGCAAUGCCGCGUGCGUGAAGAAGGCCUUCGGGUUGUAAACUUCUUUUGUUCGGAAAGAAAAGACGCGGGUUAAUACCCGGACGUAUUGACGGUACCGAAAGAAUAAGCACCGGCUAACUACGUG
This 482-nucleotide ribosomal RNA is filed under the name uncultured bacterium. Its description in RNAcentral is "partial 16S ribosomal RNA". It matches the Rfam family "Bacterial small subunit ribosomal RNA", at positions 30 to 507 of the family's 1533-position model. The record is from RNAcentral.